AGUCGAACGGCAGCACGGGGGCAACCCUGGUGGCGAGUGGCGAACGGGUGAGUAAUGCAUCGGAACGUGUCUUUAAGUGGGGGAUAACGCAUCGAAAGGUGUGCUAAUACCGCAUAAUCUCUGAGGAGAAAAGCAGGGGAUCGUAAGACCUUGCGCUUUUAGAGCGGCCGAUGUCUGAUUAGCUAGUUGGUGAGGUAAAGGCUCACCAAGGCUCCGAUCAGUAGCUGGUCUGAGAGGACGACCAGCCACACUGGGACUGAGACACGGCCCAGACUCCUACGGGAGGCAGCAGUGGGGAAUUUUGGACAAUGGGGGCAACCCUGAUCCAGCCAUGCCGCGUGAGUGAAGAAGGCCUUCGGGUUGUAAAGCUCUUUCAGCCGGAAAGAAAUCGUACAGACUAAUACUCUGUAUGGAUGACGGUACCGGAAGAAGAAGCACCGGCUAACUACGUGCCAGCAGCCGCGGUAAUACGUAGGGUGCGAGCGUUAAUCGGAAUUACUGGGCGUAAAGCGUGCGCAGGCGGUUUUGUAAGUCAGAUGUGAAAUCCCCGGGCUUAACCUGGGAACUGCGUUUGAAACUACAAGGCUAGAGUGUAGCAGAGGGGGGUGGAAUUCCACGUGUAGCAGUGAAAUGCGUAGAGAUGUGGAGGAACACCGAUGGCGAAGGCAGCCCCCUGGGUUAACACUGACGCUCAGGCACGAAAGCGUGGGGAGCAAACAGGAUUAGAUACCCUGGUAGUCCACGCCCUAAACUAUGUCAACUAGUUGUCGGGCCUUAACGGGCUUGGUAACGCAGCUAACGCGUGAAGUUGACCGCCUGGGGAGUACGGUCGCAAGAUUAAAACUCAAAGGAAUUGACGGGGACCCGCACAAGCGGUGGAUUAUGUGGAUUAAUUCGAUGCAACGCGAAAAACCUUACCUACCC
Molecule: ribosomal RNA, 924 nt
Filed under: uncultured organism
Description: bacterial SSU rRNA
Rfam family: Bacterial small subunit ribosomal RNA
Source: RNAcentral